Nannospalax galili (Upper Galilee mountains blind mole rat) is the source of this 1050-nucleotide long non-coding RNA. RefSeq lists it as uncharacterized. NCBI's taxonomy places the organism in Eukaryota, Metazoa, Chordata, Mammalia, Rodentia, Spalacidae. The transcript is spliced from 4 exons. The record is from RefSeq and is a predicted model, not a curated record.
UCUAACCUAAGAGAUAAACAAGAAUUAAAACAUUUGAAUCUCAUCUACUAUUUUUUCUCUUGUCCAUAUUUGGGUGGCACAUGUGAGGUCAACAUACCUCUCACCUCACCAUUCCUCACAGAAUGUGAUAUUCAGGAAGAUCCCAAGGGUCUUGGCCCUGGACAAAUGCUUAAAGAAAUUAUUCUAGGUGCUUCAAGAGGAAAUGAAGAGAGGAAGACAUGUUUUUGCCUGGACCAGACUCUAUAAUCAGAACAGAUAAUGCUAGAACUGGUUAGGAUGGUGAUAUCAGGAACCCAAAGAGAAGCUAAGCUCACAUCUCUUCAUUAUGGAUUGAAGUGUGUCCCUCCAAAGGGAACCUCCUGCAACAGGCCCAGAAGAAUCAUUCAAAAAUGAGGAAGAAUAUUCACCUCCCUCUGCUUUCUGCCUGUGGACUCAGUGUGACCAGACACCUCACACUCCUGCCUCCAUGGUCUGAUAUACUAUAUCCCCACAAACUUGCUUAACAGAAGACAGCUGGAGCAAGGCUAGACUCCAUCUUCAACCACCACAUUCUCAAGUCUCUGGUAAAUUCCACCAUACACUUUGAGAAGGAGAGGAGAAGGCAUACAGCAUUGUCCAUGGACUACCCGAGAAAGGGGCCACCAUGUAUCUUCUCCAUGCCACAUUUGGAGGACAAUUGUUCUUAGUCAUAAAGCAGAGGUCAAAAUCAGAAAUGACAUCAUUAUCAUAAAUUUUGCAGCAAUGGAAGAAUUAAAUAGCCUGAUUUGAUUGUGGCACAGUGUAUGCAUGUAUUAAAAUGUCACACUACACUCUAUAAACAUGUGUAAGUAUCGUGUGCUAAUUAAAAAAUAAGGAGCCAGUGAGAUGGCUCAGCAGAUAAGAGUACUUGCUGCUAAGCUUGCUAACCUGAGUUCAGUCCUUGGAACCCACAUGCUAUAAGGAGAAGAACCCCUCUUGAAGGCUGUCCUGUCUUCUACAUGGGCACUAUGGCACGUGCACAUGCAAACAUACACACACACAGAAAAUAAAAUAAGAAUAAUUAUUGUUAGU